AUGUGGUUAAUUCGAUGAUACGCGAGGAACCCUACCUGGGCUCGAACGUAAGAUGACUGUAGGUGAAAGCUUACAUCUCUUCGGAGCAUUUUACGAGGUGCUGCAUGGUUGUCGUCAGCUCGUGCCGUGAGGUGUCGGGUUAAGUCCCAUAACGAGCGCAACCCUACCUUUAGUUGCCAUCAGGUUAAGCUGGGGACUCUAAAGGAACUGCCUACGCAAGUAGUGAGGAAGGCGGGGAUGACGUCAAAUCAGCACGGCCCUUACGUCCAGGGCUACACACGUGCUACAAUGGCCGAUACAGAGGGCAGCUACCUGGUGACAGGAUGCAAAUCUCCAAAGUCGGUCUCAGUUCGGAUCGGAGUCUGCAACCCGACUCCGUGAAGUUGGAUUCGCUAGUAAUCGCGCAUCAGCCAUGGCGCGGUGAAUACGUUCCCGGGCCUU
Molecule: ribosomal RNA, 441 nt
Filed under: uncultured Sphingobacteriales bacterium
Lineage: Bacteria; Pseudomonadati; Bacteroidota; Sphingobacteriia; Sphingobacteriales
Description: bacterial SSU rRNA
Rfam family: Bacterial small subunit ribosomal RNA
Source: RNAcentral